This 72-nucleotide transfer RNA is filed under the name Camelus bactrianus (Bactrian camel). It matches the Rfam family "tRNA". Rfam says of the family: Transfer RNA (tRNA) molecules are approximately 80 nucleotides in length. Lineage: Eukaryota; Metazoa; Chordata; Mammalia; Artiodactyla; Camelidae. RNAcentral also lists the same sequence under 2 other names. The record is from Rfam by way of RNAcentral.
AGGGAAAUAGCUCAGUGGUAGAGUGCAUAUUCAGCACACAUGAAGCCCUGGGUUCAAUCCCCAGCACCUCCA